AGAGCGAACGCUGGCGGCAGGCCUAACACAUGCAGGUCGAGCGCCCGUAGCAAUACGGGAGCGGCAGACGGGAUAGUAACACGUGGGAACGCGCCCUUCGGUUCGGAAUAACUCAGGGAAACUUGAGCUAAUACCGGAUACGCCCUUACGGGGAAAGAUUUAUUGCCGAAGGAACGGCCCGCGUCCGAUUAGCUAGUUGGUGAGGUAAUGGCUCACCAAGGCUACGAUCGGUAGCUGGUCUGAGAGGAUGACCAGCAUCACUGGGACUGAGACACGGCCCAGACUCCUACGGGAGGCAGCAGUGGGGAAUAUUGGACAAUGGGCGCAAGCCUGAUCCAGCCAUGCCGCGUGGAUGAUGAAGGCCUUAGGGUUGUAAAGUCCUUUUAACGGGGAAGAUAAUGACGGUACCCGUAGAAUAAGCCCCGGCUAACUUCGCGCCAGCAGCCGC
Molecule: ribosomal RNA, 448 nt
Filed under: uncultured bacterium
Lineage: Bacteria
Description: SSU rRNA
Rfam family: Bacterial small subunit ribosomal RNA
Source: RNAcentral